Molecule: long non-coding RNA, 770 nt
Organism: Zalophus californianus (California sea lion)
Lineage: Eukaryota; Metazoa; Chordata; Mammalia; Carnivora; Otariidae
Exons: 3
Source: RefSeq, a predicted model, not a curated record
GCUUGGGGUCCUAGGGUUCCCGCCUCCCGCCCCCUGCUACGCGCCGCGCCAUCUCUUCUCUCCCCGCUGCACAUGAAAAGAAAUCACAACCCGUUAGGUUCCCGGGAAGCUCCUGACCCGCUCGCCUCGCCCCUGGCCCACCUUGUCCUCUUCGGCCUGGUGGCAGGGAGGCGUGAGGGCGGGGUGGGGCAGCUACCGCUUGUCCUUAUCCCGGCCGAAUUCCUCCAACUCCCCGGUCCCCGGUAACCAUUUUCCCUCCCCGCCCAUAUUUUCCCCUAAGAACAACGGUUCUUUCCUCCUGACCACCUUGGCGGCGUCUUUUGCAGGUUUUGCGUCUCCUAACUUGUGUACAGUGGAGUUUUCCGGAGACUACAUGACAUGUGAUACGGAAACAUUUGAAAAAGGAAGCAGAUAAUAAAAUCCAGUCAUCUGCAGUUAAACCAGACAUUAAGGAGAUUUGCAAAAACCCUACUCUCUGUAUUCGACAAUGAUGUGAAGUUAACAAGUAAUUAUAAUAUCUGUAAUGACUCCUCAUGAAGAAUCCACAAGACAUAAACUAGGUAGACGAGUGCCCAAAAUGUACAUACACUUGGCACUAAUUUCAAUGGAAACCUCAAGAUUAUUUUAUUCUAAUUAAAGCUAUGCACAAUGCGAGGUAAUUAGCAUACUAGAAGUGACCUAAAUUACUUUCACCUCCUUUCUUUAAAUCUUUGCGGUUGUAGAACUUCUGAGAUCAAAUUGAGAAGUUAGCCUUCAUGAUAAUUUCUCUC